GCCUUCGUGGUGUAGUGGUCAGCACGCUCGGCGCGUAACCGAGAGGUCCGUGGUUCGAGUCCCGGCCAAGGCA
RNAcentral lists this transfer RNA (73 nucleotides) under Stegodyphus mimosarum. It matches the Rfam family "tRNA". From Rfam's summary of the family: Transfer RNA (tRNA) molecules are approximately 80 nucleotides in length. Lineage: Eukaryota; Metazoa; Arthropoda; Arachnida; Araneae; Eresidae. The record is from Rfam by way of RNAcentral.